This 235-nucleotide ribosomal RNA is filed under the name uncultured bacterium. RNAcentral's name for it is "partial 16S ribosomal RNA". It matches the Rfam family "Bacterial small subunit ribosomal RNA", at positions 104 to 334 of the family's 1533-position model. The record is from RNAcentral.
CGGGACGGGGUGGAGUAAUGUCUGGGAAACUGCCUGAUGGAGGGGGGUAACUACUGGAAACGGUAGCUAAUACCGCAUAACGUCGCAAGACCAAAGAGGGGGACCUCAGGGCCUCUUGCCAUCGGAUGUGCCCAGAUGGGAUUAGCUAGUAGGUGGGGUAACGGCUCACCUAGGCGACGAUCCCUAGCUGGUCUGAGAGGAUGACCAGCCACACUGGAACUGAGACACGGUCCAG